GUCGGUAUAGCUCAGUGGUAGAGCCCAUGCUUAGCAUGCAUGGAGCCUUAGGUUCAAUCCCCAGUACCUCCA
RNAcentral lists this transfer RNA (72 nucleotides) under Camelus bactrianus (Bactrian camel). It matches the Rfam family "tRNA". Rfam says of the family: Transfer RNA (tRNA) molecules are approximately 80 nucleotides in length. Their secondary structure includes four short double-helical elements and three loops (D, anti-codon, and T loops). Lineage: Eukaryota; Metazoa; Chordata; Mammalia; Artiodactyla; Camelidae. The record is from Rfam by way of RNAcentral. RNAcentral also lists the same sequence under 2 other names.